This 693-nucleotide ribosomal RNA is filed under the name Salmonella enterica. Its description in RNAcentral is "partial 23S ribosomal RNA". It matches the Rfam family "Bacterial large subunit ribosomal RNA", at positions 2048 to 2739 of the family's 2925-position model. The record is from RNAcentral. Lineage: Bacteria; Pseudomonadati; Pseudomonadota; Gammaproteobacteria; Enterobacterales; Enterobacteriaceae.
CUCGCUGUGAAGAUGCAGUGUACCCGCGGCAAGACGGAAAGACCCCGUGAACCUUUACUAUAGCUUGACACUGAACAUUGAGCCUUGAUGUGUAGGAUAGGUGGGAGGCUUUGAAGUGUGGACGCCAGUCUGCAUGGAGCCGACCUUGAAAUACCACCCUUUAAUGUUUGAUGUUCUAACGUGGACCCGUGAUCCGGGUUGCGGACAGUGUCUGGUGGGUAGUUUGACUGGGGCGGUCUCCUCCUAAAGAGUAACGGAGGAGCACGAAGGUUGGCUAAUCCUGGUCGGACAUCAGGAGGUUAGUGCAAUGGCAUAAGCCAGCUUGACUGCGAGCGUGACGGCGCGAGCAGGUGCGAAAGCAGGUCAUAGUGAUCCGGUGGUUCUGAAUGGAAGGGCCAUCGCUCAACGGAUAAAAGGUACUCCGGGGAUAACAGGCUGAUACCGCCCAAGAGUUCAUAUCGACGGCGGUGUUUGGCACCUCGAUGUCGGCUCAUCACAUCCUGGGGCUGAAGUAGGUCCCAAGGGUAUGGCUGUUCGCCAUUUAAAGUGGUACGCGAGCUGGGUUUAGAACGUCGUGAGACAGUUCGGUCCCUAUCUGCCGUGGGCGCUGGAGAACUGAGGGGGGCUGCUCCUAGUACGAGAGGACCGGAGUGGACGCAUCACUGGUGUUCGGGUUGUCAUGCCAAUGGCACU